UACGAAGGGGGCUAGCGUUGUUCGGAAUUACUGGGCGUAAAGCGCGCGCAGGCGGUCUUCCAAGUCAGUGGUGAAAGCCCGGAGCUCAACUCCGGAACUGCCAUUGAAACUGUAAGACUUGAGGAUGAGAGAGGUGAGUGGAAUUCCCAGUGUAGAGGUGAAAUUCGUAGAUAUUGGGAAGAACACCGGUGGCGAAGGCGGCUUCCUGGCCUGUUCUUGACGCUGAGGCGCGAAAGCUAGGGGAGCAAACGGG
RNAcentral lists this ribosomal RNA (253 nucleotides) under uncultured bacterium. RNAcentral describes it as "partial 16S ribosomal RNA". It matches the Rfam family "Bacterial small subunit ribosomal RNA", at positions 524 to 776 of the family's 1533-position model. The record is from RNAcentral.